This 84-nucleotide transfer RNA is filed under the name Rhodococcus phage REQ2. It matches the Rfam family "tRNA". From Rfam's summary of the family: Transfer RNA (tRNA) molecules are approximately 80 nucleotides in length. Their secondary structure includes four short double-helical elements and three loops (D, anti-codon, and T loops). Lineage: Duplodnaviria; Heunggongvirae; Uroviricota; Caudoviricetes. The record is from Rfam by way of RNAcentral.
UCCCCUGUAGCAAAACUUGGUAGAGCGCCGCAACGCCAUCCCAGCGUUGUGAAGGCAAUGCGGGUUCAAGUCCCGCCAGGGGAA